AGCGUGGCAGUGGUUCCCUGAAAAUAUUAGCAUCAUAAUAAUUCACAGGCAGGAGAUAUGGAAAUUAAUUUUUUUUUUUUUUCAUUUUGCAGCAUGCAGCAGAAUUCCACUAAGUCAUCCAGUGACAUGUGACAAAUAAAGACAGGACAGUCUGAAGUGGAAUGAGAAUCUACAGACACACAAAUCUCUGACUAACGUUUGAUCAGAGCCUCCUGCUUCCGCUGCAACUCCUGCUGCUCUAACAGCACUCCUCCUGUUUCCUCUCCUCUGCUACCUCAGACAAAGGGCCUGGAGGAAAACGUUCUCAGCUGUCUCCUGUUGAGCAGCAGCUGAGCAGCAAGACUGACAGAAACACACAAGUGACCAAUGAAGAAGUUCUGCAGGAGGGAGGACUGACCAAUGAGAGAGCCCGUCUGAUUGUAGGUGAUUUACGUUCCUGACAUUUUUAACCAAAUUACCCAGCA
Molecule: long non-coding RNA, 464 nt
Organism: Austrofundulus limnaeus
Lineage: Eukaryota; Metazoa; Chordata; Actinopteri; Cyprinodontiformes; Rivulidae
Exons: 3
Source: RefSeq, a predicted model, not a curated record